RNAcentral lists this ribosomal RNA (483 nucleotides) under uncultured bacterium. RNAcentral's name for it is "partial 16S ribosomal RNA". The record is from RNAcentral.
GUAGUUAGCCGGUGCUUUCUUGUACGGUACCGUCAUUAUCGUCCCGUACGACAGGAGUUUACAAUCCGAAAACCUUCUUCCUCCACGCGGCGUCGCUGCAUCAGGGUUUCCCCCAUUGUGCAAUAUUCCCCACUGCUGCCUCCCGUAGGAGUCUGGACCGUGUCUCAGUUCCAGUGUGGCCGAUCAGCCUCUCAGCUCGGCUACCCAUCGUUGGCUAGGUGGGCCGUUACCCCGCCUACUACCUAAUGGGACGCGAGACCCUCUCUCUGCGGAUUUCUCCUUUGACCUCUGUGCCAUGCGGCACUGUGGUCUUAUGCGGUAUUAGCACCUGUUUCCAAGUGUUAUCCCCCUCAAAGAGGCAGGUUCCUCACGCGUUACUCACCCGUUCGCCACUAAGUACAAAACCGAAAUCUCGUACUUCGUUCGACUUGCAUGUGUUAGGCACGCCGCCAGCGUUCGUCCUGAGCCAGGAUCAAACUCUGA